GAUGAACGCUGGCGGCGUGCUUAACACAUGCAAGUCGAACGAUGAAGCCCAGCUUGCUGGGUGGAUUAGUGGCGAACGGGUGAGUAACACGUGAGUAACCUGCCCUUAACUCUGGGAUAAGCCUGUGAAACUGGGUCUAAUACCGGAUAGGAGCGCCUACCGCAUGGUGGGUGUUGGAAAGAUUUAUCGGUUUUGGAUGGACUCGCGGCCUAUCAGCUUGUUGGUGAGGUAAUGGCUCACCAAGGCGACGACGGGUAGCCGGCCUGAGAGGGUGACCGGCCACACUGGGACUGAGACACGGAGCAGACUGCUACGGGAGGCAGCAGUGGGGAAUAUUGCACAAUGGGCGAAAGCCUGAUGCAGAGACGCCGCGUGAGGGAUGACGGCCUUCGGGUUGUAAACCUCUUUCAGUAGGGAAGAAGCGAAAGUGACGGUACCUGAAGAAGAAGCACCGGCUAACUACGUG
Molecule: ribosomal RNA, 466 nt
Filed under: uncultured bacterium
Lineage: Bacteria
Description: partial 16S ribosomal RNA
Rfam family: Bacterial small subunit ribosomal RNA
Source: RNAcentral